Molecule: ribosomal RNA, 497 nt
Filed under: uncultured bacterium
Lineage: Bacteria
Description: partial 16S ribosomal RNA
Rfam family: Bacterial small subunit ribosomal RNA
Source: RNAcentral
GAUGAACGCUGGCGGCGUGCCUAAUACAUGCAAGUCGAGCGAACAGACGAGGAGCUUGCUCCUCUGACGUUAGCGGCGGACGGGUGAGUAACACGUGGAUAACCUACCUAUAAGACUGGGAUAACUUCGGGAAACCGGAGCUAAUACCGGAUAACAUGUUGAACCGCAUGGUUCAACAGUGAAAGACGGUUUUGCUGUCACUUAUAGAUGGAUCCGCGCCGCAUUAGCUAGUUGGUAAGGUAACGGCUUACCAAGGCAACGAUGCGUAGCCGACCUGAGAGGGUGAUCGGCCACACUGGAACUGAGACACGGUCCAGACUCCGACGGGAGGCAGCAGUAGGGAAUCUUCCGCAAUGGGCGAAAGCCUGACGGAGCAACGCCGCGUGAGUGAAGAAGGUCUUCGGAUCGUAAAACUCUGUUAUUAGGGAAGAACAAAUGUGUAAGUAACUAUGCACGUCUUGACGGUACCUAAUCAGAAAGCCACGGCUAACUACGUG